GCCAGACAUGUUGGCACACUCCUGUAAUCCCAGCUAUCAGGAGGCUGGGGCAGGAGGAUCACAGUUUCCAAGCCAGCUUAUGCAAUUUAGUGAGACCCUGUCUCAA
RNAcentral lists this small RNA (106 nucleotides) under Marmota monax (woodchuck). The record is from RNAcentral. Lineage: Eukaryota; Metazoa; Chordata; Mammalia; Rodentia; Sciuridae.